RNAcentral lists this signal recognition particle RNA (99 nucleotides) under Alphaproteobacteria bacterium CG11_big_fil_rev_8_21_14_0_20_39_49. RNAcentral's name for it is "signal recognition particle sRNA small type". It matches the Rfam family "Bacterial small signal recognition particle RNA". From Rfam's summary of the family: The signal recognition particle (SRP) is a universally conserved ribonucleoprotein involved in the co-translational targeting of proteins to membranes. Archaeal SRP consists of a 7S RNA and homologues of the eukaryotic SRP19 and SRP54 proteins. In most bacteria, the SRP consists of a 4.5S RNA and the Ffh protein (a homologue of the eukaryotic SRP54 protein). Lineage: Bacteria; Pseudomonadati; Pseudomonadota; Alphaproteobacteria. The record is from RNAcentral.
UUGGAGAUUGGCGUGGGCGGAUUGCUUACCCAAAUUGGUCAGGUCAGAAAUGAAGCAGCCACAAGUUUGCUUAUCCGGGUCAUUGCCAAUCUCUUCUUU